CCCCUUCCCCUCUUCCGCUCUCCUCCUCAUGAUUCCUCCGCAUAGACGAGACUACCGCUCGCCUAGUGCCCGAACUGGAGUAGCUGAUUUGUGCUCGUGGUGGUGGUGCUUGACUUCUUGUGCAUUUGUCUCUCUUUUCCGGAAGUAGGAAUUUCCUUUCCGUCUUUUCAGGUUCGGUUCAAAUACGUGCUUGAUUGUGAUUUGUGAAGGGAUGGGGGUGAUUGGCACGGACCAGCGAGCGGGUGAUCUUUUGGAUUAGCUGCUUGCACACAGAACAAUCACCGUAUGUUGGGGUCGAAAUUGCUAUCACAGCAAUAAUUUAUGGAUAACUCCUCGGCUAGGUGGUGAUUUAGCUCCAGUGCUUACUGUAUCUGUUCUGUAUAUAACGACCUGGCAAUCAGAUAAUGCAAUUCUAUCAGUCCACAUGCUGACAUAUAUCACUUCGAGUAAUCUGAUAAUUAUACUCUAGAUAGGGUAAUGUGCUAUGCUGCUACAAUUUGGCAAUGUGUGAAUUGACAGGGUUGUGAUGUUGAUGCCACACAAAAGCAGUCAUUGCGAACUAGCAUGGCGAAAUGGGGUAGGGACAGUAAUAUGGAAGCACACAUCUGAAACCAGCACAUCUCUAUUUGAUAAUAAUCCAAACUAAAACCAACCUUGAUCUGACUUGUUCCCAGUAACCCAAAGUUGCUCUGGGAUUUAGUAUUAUGGUGCAGGCCAUCAAUACUCCAUCGACACGUUAAACACACGGCAUCACAUCUGAUUUUCACUACUUGUGUUUUGCAUCCUCGAUGGGCUGUUCUGGUCUUCUGGAUAGAGUUCAGGUUAUGUCAGAUGAUAUCGUCGCUUAUGGCUACAAUACAUGCAAACGGAUGUUAGGGAUAUGGGUAAAUUCUUUGAUGAAUCAUUUGAUUGUGCCCCCGUCCCGCUCGCACAGUUCAACGACACCCAGCUCCUCUCCGAUUACAACUUGCUGGAGGAGACGAGCCUAGUGAGGGAGUUGGCCCACAGGCUGCUCGGCGACUUCGGCGGCAACUUUGGCCGGAACUUCGAGGGAUGCUCGGGUGCCAAGCUGCCGCCGUCGCUCGUCGCCCUCUGCAAGGCCGCGGAGCGCUGAAGCGUCCGGCUCUUCUUCCUCCCCCGCGGCAUGACCAGGAGGGCGCAGAACCGCUCAUGGCACGACAACAGAAAUGACUGCAUAUACUGGACAAUCGAGUCGAAGUUCAAUUCGACAGAUAUUGUCCUAACUGACCACCAGUGGCAAUGGCAAGAGCAUAUUGUGCAGAGGAAGAGGAUGAGAAGAAACUUGUGGUUCUCAUCCAAUCUUUGUGGAACUCUCUUUAUGUGCGACUGUGCAUUUGUUGGGUCCUUUUUCUGUGCACUUGCACUUGUAGAAGUAUCCUGUUGUGUACAUGUAAAAUUAUUUUGAUGUGCCCUUGUUAGGCGUUGAACCUUAAUGCGUGGAAUCGGUGAAUGAUGUAUUUUAUUUGAUGUGAUAUGCUACUGAAAUGAAAUAUACAAUUUAUUUGCAA
RNA transcript from Hordeum vulgare subsp. vulgare (domesticated barley), 1529 nucleotides. RefSeq lists it as uncharacterized. NCBI's taxonomy places the organism in Eukaryota, Viridiplantae, Streptophyta, Magnoliopsida, Poales, Poaceae. The transcript is spliced from 6 exons. The record is from RefSeq and is a predicted model, not a curated record.